RNAcentral lists this ribosomal RNA (615 nucleotides) under Triticum aestivum (bread wheat). RNAcentral's name for it is "partial small subunit ribosomal RNA". Lineage: Eukaryota; Viridiplantae; Streptophyta; Magnoliopsida; Poales; Poaceae. The record is from RNAcentral.
AUGAAUGUUGCCCAACAGAGAUUAUUUUGUGUAGUAUUUAAAGGAGAUAAGUUCCCUUACGGUUUAGCAGCUGAUAUACGUGGUAAUGUGCAUGUCAAGGAAAGGAAAAUAAUUGGGCUAAACAGCCAUGACAACCACAUCUUGAUGCAACAUUUGCCACCACUUGCUGUGAGAAGGCUAUUGCCCAAAAAAGUUAGUGCAACACUGAUUCGUGUUAGCAAUUUUUUCAAGCAGAUUUACUCACAUGUUAUUUUUGUUAGUGAUAUGGAAAAACUAGAGGCUGAAAUUGCUGAGACCUUGAGCAUUCUUGAGACUAUAUUCCCCCCAUCCUUUUUUGAUAUCAUGGUACACUUGAUGGUGCAUCUUCCAGCCCAAGCAAAAAUAGCUGGUCCAGUGCAUUUUCGCAACAUGUUUCCUAUUGAAAGGUAUUUGUGUUGGUGUAAGGGCUUUGUUCAUACUAGAAGUCAUCCAGAGGGAUCUAUUAUCGAGCGGUAUUUUUUUGAUGAGAAUCUUACGUACUAUUCUCGGUAUAUAAAAGGCAAAACUCAGUUUACUCGACGAAUUAGAAAUGAUCAAGGUUUGAGUAUGGCAACCAGUAGUACCACACCUUUCUUC